GCCAGUGCAAGGGUUUUAGCCAAGGAGGAAUACUUUUACCGCUUCACUUCUCAUUUCUCCGCCAUGAUUACAAAAUCUCUAUCAAUUCCCACAAAUCUUCCAUUCUCAUCCCUUAACACCCGCUUCCAUCCCCAAUUCCAAUCGCCACUCCUUUUCCCCCUCCAAUCCUCUCCCUUUCUAUUCCAUCAAACAACUCAAUUCCUCACUAAUCCAUUUCCCAAAUGUCAAAACCCCUGCAACUCAUCACCAUCCACCACUCAACAUCAACAAGAAGACCAACUCAAAGAUACCCAUGAAGCCAUUUUCCACUUCCUCCAAGACUUUGGAAUAUCCAACGAGGAUUCCAGUUCCAUUGCUUCAAAUUGCCCUAAAUAUGCUAAGAUGCUCAUUGAUAGUGUGAAAGAUUUGGACGACUGGAAUGCAUGGGAAACUGCCGGAAAGGAAUUUGUUGAUUUGGGGUUCAAGGGAAAAGUGAUUUAUAUGGCCAAGGAUAAAGGUGAUAAUGGCAAGCUUGCUUUUCUUGAGAGUCUUGGAUUGAGUUUGUCUUCGGCUAUGAAUGUUGCUCGAUACAUCACCAAUGAGUCGCUUCCGGCUCUUAUCAACAAGGUUAAGUAUAUGAAGGAAAUGUUAUUUUCUGGCAGUGAUGAUAAAGGCCUCCUUGGAAAAAAUGCUCGACGUGUGAUGAAGCAUUUAUCUAUACCUAUUGAUGAUGAUUUGCAGCAGACCUUGUCCUUUUUCGAAAAGAUUGAAGCAAGACGAGGUGGUUUAGACAUGCUUGGUUCCUCUGAUGCCUCUUUUCGAUGCUUAGUUGAGUCAUUUCCACAAAUUCUUUUGUUGUCAUUAGACUCACACUUGAAGCCUAUGAUCGAACUUCUUGAAAGUAUUGGAAUCCCAAGGGAACGCAUGGGUAGCAUAUUCUUAUUAUUCCCACCUAUUAUGUUAUGUGACAUUAAGGGCAUUGAAAGAAAAGUUCUGGCUCUUAAGAAGGUUAUUGCAGUAGAUGAAGAUUUUGGAAAAAUAAUACAAAAAUAUCCAUGGAUUCUUUCAACAAGCAUUCAAGAUAACUACAAGGAGAUUGUUUAUUUGUGUGAUAUGGAGAAGGUUGCAAAAGUGAGCAUUGACAAAGCAAUCAGAACCUGGCCUCUUGUUUUGGGUUGUUCAACAAGCAAGCUGAAGGUGAUGUUGGAACAGUUUGGAGUGCUAGGUGUUAAAAAGAAGAAGUUGGGACAGGUUAUUGCUAAAAGUCCUCAAUUACUGCUAAGAAAACCUGAAGAAUUUCUCCAGGUGGUUUCAUUUUUGAAAGAUCUAGGAUUUGAUCAGGAAACUGUGGGCAAGAUACUUGUUCGUUGUCCUGAGGUUUUUGCUACUAGCAUUGAGAAAACGCUACGGAUGAAAGUUGAAUUCCUUACUUCUAUUGGUGUUUCUGAGGAUCAUCUCCCUCGCAUUAUUAAAAAAUAUCCAGAGCUUCUUGUGUCUGACAUCUACAAAGCAUUCCUUCCCAGGCAUAUAAUCUUUCGUGCUGACCUUGUGAAGUAGUUUGGUAAAAUUGUUUUUUUGCCCUAGUCAAGUUCCUGUAAGGUAUUACUGAAAAUAAUCUCAAGAACAAGAUGUAGACGUCCUGAAUUUAUUGUAAGAACUGGCAUUAGACUUUAUAUGAAUGGUUCCAAUGACAUUUCUAGUAAAAAUUAGGUUACGAGACAAUUUCCCUUUUGACUGCAAUCACUUUGGGUGGUAAAAUUUUAUAAGAAUUGGAUCAAGUGAUGGUGAGCAUCAUUGAAUUGUAGUGACAACCUUGUGUCAGUGUGGUAUAACUAGAGUUCCAAAACCUAGAUUGUUCCCUCACCUACAGAGAGAGAGAGGAUCAGUUCAUAGGUUAAUCUUUCUGAUGCCUAAUUUUGGGAUGAAAACCAAACAUUUGUCAUAAUCACUGCUGCUUAAGUUUCAGUUUGAAGGUUGAGUCAAUACUCCCUUGAUUGGUGUUCUGAUCUAAUCCAGCUGUAAUGAUGGCAGGAUAGAGUACUUGAUGGAAGUAGGACUCUCGAAGAGAGAGAUUCUUUUCAUGGUCCGCAGGUUCUCUCCUUUGCUAGGGUACAGCAUCAAUGCAGUUUUGAGACCGAAGUAUGAAUUCCUGGUGAAUACAAUGGAAAAACCAGUGAAAGAUGUAGUGGAUUAUCCACGUUAUUUUAGCUAUUCACUGGAAAAGAAGAUAAAGCCGAGAUUCUGGGUGCUGAAGGGAAGGAAUGUGGAGUGCAGCUUAAAAGAUAUGCUUGAUAAAAAUGAUGAGGAGUUUGCUGCCAAGUUUAUGGACGCAGGAGGAAUGCCUGUUUCCUCUUCUCCUUCACAACCAUGAACAGAUAACAGCUUGUCAGUAAAUAUAAAUACGACAGUUGUUGAGGAAAAGAUGGUAAAUUAUCGGAUUUACAGACGUGGAAUGGAUGCGUAUAAAAAGAGUUUUGAGUAAUGGAUUUAUGAUUUGCUAUUUGCUUCCACAAGCAACCAAAUGAGAUUGUGAUCUGAUGAGAAAGUGUCCGGCCACUGAAGUUCAAAUUUUUCCACAGAAACUGCCACUAAACCGUUAGCAUUAACACACCCGCUCUCCUUUCGGCCUCUCCCUUUCCCUGGCUGGACCUCUCUUGGGUUUCAGAAGGGCAUCAUUAUAAACUUUUUAAGAAAUGGGGACCAUCGUAAGCAAAGCUGCAAAUGGCCUUGGAGGUGUCCUUGCUAAUGUUUUUACUGCUCCUUUCAAGACUAUUCUUGGAGCAUCAUGUGAGUAAGUAUACUCUCUUAUCAUUAGUAUACUCUAUUAUCAUUCUUAAAUUAAUAAUUAUUUACAAGUAGCAAGUCUUUUUAAUCAUUCUCCGUUAAUGUGGGCAGGAACCCUAACAAAUCACCAUGAAUUUCUACCACUUAAGCAUUUAAUGCAUUUGCACAAGUCAUGAACUAGGAUGUCUGGGCUAUUAUGUUCCAUUUUUCCAUCAUAACCAUAAAUAUCAGUUCAUUUCCUUAAUCUUUGUUACUAGAAUGAAACAACUGCCAUGAAUCUGCAGGGAUACUUGUGUUGGGCCAUGGGAUGUAAUCUGUUUUAUUGAGCACUUGUGUGUCUCUAAUCUGGUGAAGUUGUUACUGAUUUUGAGCCUCUGCUACAUAAGUAAGUUUUUUUAUUAUUUUCUUUCAUUUUUUUUCUCCUUUCCAUAAGAUUCAUGCAAGAAGCCGAAGAAAUACAAAUCAUAAGCUUCAAUACGCUAGCUUCUGUUUGUUACUUUCUUUUAACAUUAGAGUUACCUUUUUUAAAUAGUUUAAGUGCAUCACAUGUUCACAAUUUUGUGGAGGCUAAGUACUCUUGUACUGUUCAGGUUUUGAUACAUUUUGUAGCAUUUCUUUUCUGUGAUGAAUCUGAUUUAGUGCUUGAUUAUUAAUGUUUGGAUCUGGCUUAAUCCUCAAUUGUUAUCCUUUAUUUUUGAGAAAUAUUUUCUCUAUAGUUGGGAAAGGGUGGAGGAGCACUGGGGGAAAUUUUAUUGUAAGAGUCGAGAUCUUCUUUAGAGAGAAAGGCAUGACUAUUCAAAUUUUAUCACGUGUCUAAAGAAAGUGUUUAGUUGUGAAUGUAGCAGUACCAUCAUUUUUAGCUUUAUAUUUCAUGUAGUUACUAUUGAAGAAAAUGUUGAGAAUCAUAAUGCGUCUAUGCUCUAGUAUGAUCGAUCAACCUUAACACACCGCAUGCAUCAGGGUGAACAAUGGAUUUUUAGAUGGUUAGCUGCUGUAUUAGAUAAGGGAAAAUAUUUUUCUUCCUUUUCCCCUGGGAUAUAACUGAAAUUUCGAAUCUUCCUUUUGUUGCUGGCAGCUUUGAUGUUCUUCUACCUAUUGUUCAAGGUGGGGAUUUGUCAGUGUAUAGGAAGAAGCAUUUGUAAGAUGUGUUGGGCAGCGUGUGAGACAUAUUGGUUCUCAUUACAAUAUAUUACCUGUUUUGUGUGGCACAAGUUAAAGAACACAAAACGUGUACAUCGUAGACAUUUUCGAGACAUUGAAAAAGGGUUUACUUCAAGCUCUGAAAGUGACUAUUCAGAUAACUGUCGUCAUGUUGUUAGAAAGAAAAGGUCGGCAAGGGAAGGAAGAAAGUUUCAGUUGCAGAGCUCUCGUUAUCCUUCAAGUAGGUAUGGAAACCAUAGUCGCCAUCGAUACCAUCACCAUCAUUUAAGGUUGAAAACUAGGGAAAUAUCUGCCCAUGUUAAGUGUGGAACCCGAAGGCUAAGGAAUUCAAGACGGUUGCAACUAAUAAAAUUAAAAAAUCAUAGAAGAGAUCUUGGAAUUUUCAAGAGGAGACAGAGGAGAGGCAUGAGGUGAUCAAGAGAGAAUCUGAGGUGAACAAGCUAGUAAAAGUUAUGAAUGUUGAAGUGUCUGGGUGGGACAGAGAGUCACAAGAGUCUGAAACAAUAUUGCAGAGGUUAAAAUGACAGCACAUGUAAAUCAAACUGAUUGAUGUACCAUAUUUGUUUGUGCAUUUAUUUAUAAGUAAGCAGAUUGAAGACCUAGUUGCUUGAUGAUCCUAACAUACACUCUCUACAUACGUUUUAUAUGGCUCCAAAAGCAGCUUUCCUUUCCAUUCUGUACGAGAUUAAAACUUGGAUUAAACCUCUAGUAUGUAAUGAAUAGCAAAGGAUUUUCCGUUGGCAUAAAAA
This 4673-nucleotide unclassified non-coding RNA is filed under the name Hevea brasiliensis (rubber tree). The record is from RNAcentral. Lineage: Eukaryota; Viridiplantae; Streptophyta; Magnoliopsida; Malpighiales; Euphorbiaceae.